AUGCUUAUCAUCACGUUGAGCGUAUCGGCGAACAAGCUAAUGAUGGUCCCGCGACAGUGCAAGGAGUAUGCACGUCUCAUCAUGGAGGCGUUGGACCCCGACAAACUCGGCUACAUCGAGCUGCACAACCUGAAGAUGCUGCUGCUGGAGGCGCCGAGCGAGUCGACAAGCAACAACCACAAGCUCAGCAAGCUGUUGAGCCAGCGUCUCCGCCCGACGACGGAUCCCAGCCCCGUCCGACGUUGGUACAAGCGUGCCAAGUGCUCCCUGGAGGACAACUGGCGGCGCUGCUGGGUGAUGCUCCUGUGGCUCUCCAUCUGCGUCGGCCUCUUCGCCUGGAAGUUCGUGCAAUACCGCCACCACGCUGUGUUCGAGGUGAUGGGCUACUGCGUAUGUGUGGCCAAGGGCGGGGCCGAGACGCUCAAAUUCAACAUGGCGCUCACCCUCCUCCCCGUGUGCCGGAACACCGUCACUUGGCUCCGGAGCCACACCACCGCAGGACGGAUCGUGCCCUUCAAUGACAACCUCAAAUUCCACAUGGCCAUCGCCGUUGGGAUCACUGUGGGCGCCGGGCUACACAUCAUCUCCCACCUGGCAUGCGACUUCCCGCGGCUGCUGCACGCCAUGGACGACGAAUACGAGCCCAUGAAGCCGUUCUUCGGCGACGCCAAGCCGCCCAACUACUGGUGGUUCGUGAGGGGAACGGAGGGAUGGACGGGGCUAGUGAUGCUGGCGCUCAUGGUCGUCGCCUUUACGUUCGCCACGGGACCGCUCCGCAAGGGGAAGCUCCACCUUCCCAAGCUCAAGCAGCUCGAGAGCCUCGACAGCAACCCCGAGCCUAGGGAGCUCACCCGCUUCGCCAGGCUCGUCAAUGCCUCGCGCAGCCGCCUCACUUGGUUGGUCAACACCUUGCUCAACCGCUUCACUGGGUACAACGUCUUCUGGUACACGCACCACCUCUUCCUCGCCGUCUACGCGCUGCUCAUCGUCCAUGGACACUUUCUCUACCUCACCAAGAAGUGGCAAAAGAAGUCGACGUGGAUGUACCUGACGGUGCCGAUGAUCGUGUACGCAUGCGAGCGGCUGACGAGGACGCUUCGGUCGAGCGUGAGGUCGGUGAAAAAAGUCAGGGUGGCCGUGCAUCCGCACCCCGCGACCCUGCUGUCGCUGCACUUGUCCAAGCCGCAGGGGUUCAGGUACAAGAGCGGACAGUACAUCUACGUCAAGUGCCCCGACGUCUCGCCAUUCCAGUGGCACCCGUUCUCCAUCACGUCGGCGCCAGAGGACAACUACGUCAGCGUCCACAUCAAAACGCUCGGUGACUGGACCAACCAGCUCAGGAACGCCUUCUUAAAGGUUUGCCCAACACCGACAGAGGGGACGACCGAGAUUCUUCGGGCGGAGUUCAACCGUGAGGACGCCAUGACCAACCCGAGCCUCCCGAAGGUGCUGAUCGACGGGCCGUACGGGGCGCCGGCGCAGGAUUACAAGGAGUACGACAUCGUGCUACUGGUGGGACUCGGCAUCGGUGCAACGCCCAUGAUCUCGAUCAUCAAGGACAUCAUCACCAACGCGAAGCGGCUCGACGGGGACGUGGAGUCCGGCAACGGCCACGCCGGCGACGCGAGCCCGUUCCGAACCCGUCGAGCCUACUUCUACUGGGUCACCCGGGAGCAGGGCUCCUUGGAGUGGUUCCGUGAAGUCAUGGACGAGGUGGCCGAGGCUGACGAGAAGCGCAUCAUUGAGCUCCACAACCACUGCACCAGCGUCUACGAGAAGGGCGACGCCCGGUCGGCGCUCAUCGCUAUGCUCCAGUCCCUCCACUACGCCAAGAACGGCGUCGACGUCGUCUCCGGCAGCCGCGUCAUGACCCACUUCGGCCGACCAAACUGGACCCAAGUCUACCAGCGCAUCGCCGACGAGAAUAAGGAAACACGUGUCGGUGUGUUCUAUUGUGGCGAGCCGGUGCUCACGAACAAGCUGCGCGGGCUCGCAAAGAAAUUUACAAGAAAAUCAAGCACAAAAUUCGAGUUCCACAGCGAGAAUUUCUAG
RNAcentral lists this ribosomal RNA (2052 nucleotides) under Triticum aestivum (bread wheat). RNAcentral describes it as "partial small subunit ribosomal RNA". Lineage: Eukaryota; Viridiplantae; Streptophyta; Magnoliopsida; Poales; Poaceae. The record is from RNAcentral.